CGUUAUCCUUUGGGGUCGUUGGUUUCAUUUGGGGAUCUUAAUUAUGGGGAUUUGGGGUCGGUGUUGAUUUGGGGUCAGUGUCGACACUGGGAAAGACUGGGUUCAUUAUCCUAAUUAAAGAGGCUGGGUUCAUUAGUGUAAUGAGGGUAAUUACGGCUUAAUUGGGGGGGAUCUGUGUGGUUACAGAUGGCUUGGAGGGAUUCGACGUCGUUGGUUUGUUGGGAGGCUUUGGGUUCAUCAUUGGGGUACCUGGGGUGAGAUGCAAAUUAUGGGGCAGACUGGGGUCAUUAGUGUAAUUAGAGGGCUUAAUUAGGCCAUCAUCUUAAUUAGGGUCAUCUGAGUGAUGGUCUUAAUGAGAGGGAUUGGGGUUCAAACAUUGGGAUCAAUUGGAAACAGAAUUGGGGGAGUUUUGGGGUCAUGGUUGAGAUACUUGUGGGGGAUGCAAAUAAUGGGGUAGAUUGGGGUCAUUAGUGUAAUUAGAGGGCUUAAUUAAGCUGUCAUCUUAAUUAGGGUCAUCUGAGCAAUCAUCUUAAUGAGAGGGAUUGGGGUUCAUGGGUGGAAAUGGGGGAGUUUGGGGUCGUCAUCGUCUUAAUUGGGAGAGUUUUGGGGUCAUGGUUGGGAUACUUGGGGUGGAGGUCAAUAAUGGGGUAGAUUGGGGUCAUUAGUGUAAUUAGAGGGCUUAAUUAGGCCUUGAUAUUAAUUAGGGUCAUCUGAGUGAUGGUCUUAAUGAGAUGGAUCGGGGUGAUGCCCCUAAUUAGAGGAGCUGGGGCUCAGGAACGUAAGGAGGGGGAUUUGGGGUCGUUAAGGUAAUUAGAGGGGUAAGGCUUCGGGUAAAGGCGGCGCCGUCAAUGUGUCCCUGGUUUUGGCCGAUUCGGCCUCGGCUUGUUAUUAAUUAAGGUGUUAAUUGUGUUAAUUGGGGCUGGGGGGGGAAAUAAUUAGGGUAAUGAGGGUAAUUAGGGCUUAAUUGGGGGGUCUGGGAGGUGAUUUGAUGGGGAUUAAAGCGGCGUUAUCCUUUGGGGUCGUUGGUUUCAUUUGGGGACCUUCUUAAUUAUGGGAUCUUCUUAAUUAUGGGGAUUUGGGGUUGGUGUCGACGAUGGGAGAGAGUGGGUUCUUUAUCCUAAUUAAAGAGGCUCGGUUCAUUAGGGUAAUGAGGGUAAUUAGGGCUUAAUUGGGGGGGAUCUGACAGGGGAUUCGAUUAAAGCGGCGUUAUCCUUUGGGGUCGUUGGUUUCAUUUGGGGACCUUCUUAAUUAUGGGAUCUUCUUCUUAAUUAGGGGGAUUUGGGGUCGGUGUCGACGCUGGCAGAGAGUGGGUUCAUUAUCCUAAUUAAAGAGGCUCAGUUAAUUAGGGUAAUGAGGGUAAUUAGGGCUUAACUGGGGGGUCUGGGAGGUCAUUUGAUGGGGAUUCGAUUAAAGCGGCGUUAUCCUUUGGGGUCGUUGGUUUCAUUUGGGGAUCUUAAUUAUGGGGAUUUGGGGUCGGUGUUGAUUUGGGGUCAGUGUCGACACUGGGAAAGACUGGGUUCAUUAUCCUAAUUAAAGAGGCUGGGUUCAUUAGUGUAAUGAGGGUAAUUACGGCUUAAUUGGGGGGGAUCUGUGUGGUUACAGAUGGCUUGGAGGGAUUCGACGUCGUUGGUUUGUUGGGAGGCUUUGGGUUCAUCAUUGGGGUACCUGGGGUGAGAUGCAAAUUAUGGGGCAGACUGGGGUCAUUAGUGUAAUUAGAGGGCUUAAUUAGGCCAUCAUCUUAAUUAGGGUCAUCUGAGUGAUGGUCUUAAUGAGAGGGAUUGGGGUUCAAACAUUGGGAUCAAUUGGAAACAGAAUUGGGGGAGUUUUGGGGUCAUGGUUGAGAUACUUGUGGGGGAUGCAAAUAAUGGGGUAGAUUGGGGUCAUUAGUGUAAUUAGAGGGCUUAAUUAAGCUGUCAUCUUAAUUAGGGUCAUCUGAGCAAUCAUCUUAAUGAGAGGGAUUGGGGUUCAUGGGUGGAAAUGGGGGAGUUUGGGGUCGUCAUCGUCUUAAUUGGGAGAGUUUUGGGGUCAUGGUUGGGAUACUUGGGGUGGAGGUCAAUAAUGGGGUAGAUUGGGGUCAUUAGUGUAAUUAGAGGGCUUAAUUAGGCCUUGAUCUUAAUUAGGGUCAUCUGAGUCACCGCCUUAA
Lagopus muta (rock ptarmigan) is the source of this 2143-nucleotide long non-coding RNA. RefSeq lists it as uncharacterized. The record is from RefSeq and is a predicted model, not a curated record. NCBI's taxonomy places the organism in Eukaryota, Metazoa, Chordata, Aves, Galliformes, Phasianidae. The transcript is spliced from 3 exons.